UUCUUUUAUAUAUUACGGCUGUCAUUACUUAUUAGCGUAAUGCUAAGAGCAACAAAAAAAUAUUUAAUGUUAUAGUGAAUGCUCUUAAAAUGCACCCUUAUCGAUAUAAAAGUUAUUUUUGUGCUGUGAUGUCAUUAUUUGACAAUAUACUUUAACGUUAUAAAUUCCUAGUCAUAUUUAAAUUGUAAAUAACCUAAUCUUAAUUAAAUAUUUUUUCGUAAUAUGGCAAAGACUAAAACAAUUAGUAAAGGUUGCCCUAAAUGUGAACAACAGGUCCCUGUAGCUUGCAAAGCAUGUCCAUGUGGACAUUCAUUUUUCAAUGCAAGACGAAAUUCAAUAAAAAGUCCUCCUAGUCCUGAUAAUGGGGUAAUGAAAACAAGACGAACUAAUCGAAUCAAACGUGAAAAACCAAAUUAUUAUGAUGCUUUAGAAUAUGAUAAACAAUCAAAAAAGAGUGCUAAAAUUAGAAAAGCAACAGAUGCUGCUAGUGAUAUAGAUUGCAGACAAUUAAAUAAAAAAAAGAAACGAAAGGGAAAAGGUAAAGGAAAAAGUGGAAGUAAUAAUGGAAUAGGAGAUGAUGAUGAUGAAAUGGAAGGAAUUAAUAGUUUAUCACCAGAAAAACAGCUUACAUGUUCUUUAAUAUUACAAGAAUUAAAUAACAAAAUGAGAGUUGUGGCUUGGAAACCAACAUAAUUUUUCUUCAUUGUGACAUAUUUCUUAUUCUAAGAAAUUCUAGUAUCCAGUUUUAGUAAAACAUAAUCAUUUUAUAUAGGAUCUGCCGCAAUUCUUCAUUCUCUACAAAUAAUCAUAAUGUAACAUGUAAAUAUAAUGUACAUAGUGUUAAUGUGAUAUAUAAGACAAAUUACAAAUAUAAAUCAAUUUUUUUUAAAGUAAGUCUUUAUAUCGUGUAUAUAUGUAUAUGUAUAAGAAUGUUUGUUCUUCGUUUUUACUUUGAAUGUAAAUGAAAAUGUCAUUUACCAAUAAAAUGAGAGAGAUGUGCAUUUA
RNA transcript from Apis mellifera (honey bee), 1005 nucleotides. It is a transcript of the gene named UPF0547 protein C16orf87, with no coding region annotated. The transcript is spliced from 4 exons. The record is from RefSeq and is a predicted model, not a curated record. NCBI's taxonomy places the organism in Eukaryota, Metazoa, Arthropoda, Insecta, Hymenoptera, Apidae.